GACACCAUUAAGUAGGCACUUCAGAAAUUCAAGAUAUCAAUCUAACCAGUGAUGUGUUCUGUCCAUGAAACAAACAUCAGUUAUUUAACACAGUGAAUGAAUCACUCUUUUCAAAGUCAUUUGCCCCUGGAUUAUAAUUUAACCCUUAUCUGGAGCAUGAACCAGGAACGCAACUGAUGACCAACGUUAAAGAAAGCAUACUCCAGUCUGGUGUGCAAGUUCCUGAUCAAGUGAUGCAGAGCACAAAGGCAACUCUUGUACACCCUUUUUCACCAGUUUCCACAUGCAUUUGACCACGUAUCUGCAUAAAACUGCCUUGAGGGCUUUGUGGCAGUGCGUGUUUGAUGCAGAUGAGUUGCAAGGACCGGAUGCAACUUCUAGCUGAUUGUUUGAGGAGAGCAGGUCUCGCCUGCUGAGCUACUGUUUGAAGAUAUUUUUUAACAACUUUGAGCCAGCAAAGACAGUAAGUUCAAAGCCUCUUGUCCUGAGACAAUGGUUUUCCAAUGCAUGACUAUGCACCCUGAAAGUGGAAUUCCAAUCUCAAGAAAACCCAAUCUGAGAAAUGUCUGCCAGUAAAGCAGGCAUUCCAUAUUUUCUGUUAUGAGACACUCUGAUCCAGCCAUGUCAGAAUGUGCAGUGUCCUUUUAUAUACUUUUAAAAAGGGCCAUCUGGCCGUUCUGACCACAGAGCUGUCAGCAGCCAUCAUCCAAACAAAGUGAUUUUGCUUGUUUAUUGCUGUGACUUUGUGGCUUGUUUUGCUUCGUCCAUUUGUUUUCAUUGUGAAUUGCAGACCAAAGAAACUCGCCAUACUGUAGGUCCAAUUUCUGACAUUUUUUUAGCUGAUAAACAUGCAAGUCAACACACACACUGCACAAGAACUGGUUAUGGUAUAAUCAGACUUCAGAUUUAUUUUAGCUGUUUUCCAAAGCUGUUCUAUAGAUGCAUAUUUCACCAUGGCUUGACUAAGAUAUAAGUACCUGGCUAAAAGGUACUUUAUAAAAAUUUAGGUGAAGUUAUGUCACAGCAAUAUCAAGAACUAAUCAGAUCCCACAAGAAGAUACAGUUAUAUGACAUGCGUGAAAAUUAAAGGGUUUCCUCUCUUUAAAUUAUUGUGUUGGUAUUACAUGUAGUUCUGGUUUAUAUCUAAAUUCUGUGGCAUACAUCCAGUGUAAAUAUGAUGUAAGCCAACGUCAGAAUGUCCUUAUGCAGAAUUGCACUGUUUAACUAAAUCUGUAUAGUAUCUACUGUUUGUUGAAUUGAUAUACCUUUCUAUUUGGAGCUGCCUAUUCUCUUCCACUGUCGCACUCGGAUAAGUUUAAUUAACUUUUCUUUUGUUCUUCUUCAGCCCUUACUUAAUGAAACCCUCCAC
Long non-coding RNA from Gallus gallus (chicken), 1369 nucleotides. The record is from Ensembl. Lineage: Eukaryota; Metazoa; Chordata; Aves; Galliformes; Phasianidae.